Non-coding RNA from Paramuricea clavata, 409 nucleotides. The record is from the annotation of a GenBank genome assembly. Lineage: Eukaryota; Metazoa; Cnidaria; Anthozoa; Malacalcyonacea; Plexauridae.
UUUAUUUAUUAUUUAUAAAUGACUAUGUUAGCAACAAUGUGACGUCAUCUGUAACUGGGACGUCAUUAGGGACGUCAUUAGUGAUGUUUUUGUUCUCAUGGAAAUUUCAUGUAGGAUUUGUCAGGGUUUACAGUACAGUAAUUAAAACCAUAAAAAUCAUAUGUAAAGUAGUGAAUCAAAGAUAGAUGAAAAAUUCCAAUUAGAAUAUUUAAUUAUGACGUCAUAGCGUUACCAUGGUAACUGAAUAAAGUUCUCUGUGAUAGUUUUAAUGAUGUAGUACUCUCUUCCAAAUGUUUCUUUCUUAAAAAAUAGAUGUUUUAUGGUGGGAAAAGUAUAUUUAAGUCCCAUCAUUGUUCAGGGCCAUCACGUUGUUAUCACGUCAUCAUGUUUCCAUGGUAAUACAAUUUUG